AAGUCGUAACAAGGUUUCCGUAGGUGAACCUGCGGAAGGAUCAUUAAUGGGAGAUUGUACACUCUUUAUUCAUGAUGAUGAGAGAGAUGUGCAAGCGCCAUCCUUGUGUUAUGUGUAUUGUUAACUUGUGCGUAACUGGUGUUGCGCACUUGUUUUUUUCUCACUUUCUAUUACAUUUCUUAUUUGUAUAAUUUAACACCGAAAACUGCCAGCAAUGGAUCACUCGGUUCUC
This 232-nucleotide unclassified non-coding RNA is filed under the name fungal sp. RNAcentral's name for it is "partial internal transcribed spacer region". The stretch from base 1 to 46 matches the Rfam family "Eukaryotic small subunit ribosomal RNA", at positions 1786 to 1831 of the family's 1831-position model. Lineage: Eukaryota; Fungi. The record is from RNAcentral.